CUACGUGCCAGCAGCCGCGGUAAUACGGAAGGUCCAGGCGUUAUCCGGAUUUAUUGGGUUUAAAGGGAGCGUAGGCUGGAGAUUAAGUGUGUUGUGAAAUGUAGACGCUCAACGUCUGACUUGCAGCGCAUACUGGUUUCCUUGAGUACGCACAACGUUGGCGGAAUUCGUCGUGUAGCGGUGAAAUGCUUAGAUAUGACGAAGAACUCCGAUUGCGAAGGCAGCUGACGGGAGCGCAACUGACGCUGAAGCUCGAAGGUGCGGGUAUCGAACAGGAUUAGAUACCCUGGUAGUCCGCACAGUAAACGAUGGAUGCCCGCUGUUGGUACCUGGUAUCAGCGGCUAAGCGAAAGCAUUAAGUAUACCACCUGGGGAGUACGCCGGCAACGGUGAAACUCAAAGGAAUUGACGGGGGCCCGCACAAGCGGAGGAACAUGUGGUUUAAUUCGAUGAUACGCGAGGAACCUUACCCGGGCUUGAAC
RNAcentral lists this ribosomal RNA (482 nucleotides) under uncultured bacterium. RNAcentral describes it as "bacterial SSU rRNA". It matches the Rfam family "Bacterial small subunit ribosomal RNA", at positions 501 to 986 of the family's 1533-position model. The record is from RNAcentral.